Molecule: ribosomal RNA, 392 nt
Filed under: uncultured beta proteobacterium
Lineage: Bacteria; Pseudomonadati; Pseudomonadota; Betaproteobacteria
Description: partial 16S ribosomal RNA
Rfam family: Bacterial small subunit ribosomal RNA
Source: RNAcentral
AUUNAGCUAGUUGGUGAGGUAAAGGCUCACCAAGGCGACGAUCUGUAGCNGGUCUGAGAGGAUGAUCNGCCACACUGGGACUGAGACACGGCCCAGACUCCUACGGGAGGCAGCAGUGGGGAAUUUUGGACAAUGGGCGCAANCCUGAUCCAGCCAUGCCGCGUGAGUGAAGAAGGCCUUCGGGUUGUAAAGCUCUUUCAGNCGGAAAGAAAUCGNANNNNNUAAUACCUNGUGCGGAUGACGGUACCGUNAGAAGAAGCACCGGCUAACUACGUGCCAGCAGCCGCGGUAAUACGUAGGGUGCGAGCGUUAAUCGGAAUUACUGGGCGUAAAGCGUGCGCAGGCGGUUUUGUAAGUCAGACGUGAAAUCCCCGGGCUUAACCUGGGAACUG